RNAcentral lists this ribosomal RNA (465 nucleotides) under Vreelandella stevensii. RNAcentral's name for it is "partial 16S ribosomal RNA". It matches the Rfam family "Bacterial small subunit ribosomal RNA", at positions 338 to 795 of the family's 1533-position model. The record is from RNAcentral. Lineage: Bacteria; Pseudomonadati; Pseudomonadota; Gammaproteobacteria; Oceanospirillales; Halomonadaceae.
CCUACGGGUGGCAGCAGUGGGGAAUAUUGGACAAUGGGCGAAAGCCUGAUCCAGCCAUGCCGUGUGUGUGAAGAAGGCCUUCGGGUUGUAAAGCACUUUCAGUGGGGAAGAAAGCCUUGGGGCUAAUACCCUCGAGGAAGGACAUCACCCACAGAAGAAGCACCGGCUAACUCCGUGCCAGCAGCCGCGGUAAUACGGAGGGUGCGAGCGUUAAUCGGAAUUACUGGGCGUAAAGCGCGCGUAGGCGGUCUGAUAAGCCGGUUGUGAAAGCCCCGGGCUCAACCUGGGAACGGCAUCCGGAACUGUCAGGCUAGAGUGCAGGAGAGGAAGGUAGAAUUCCCGGUGUAGCGGUGAAAUGCGUAGAGAUCGGGAGGAAUACCAGUGGCGAAGGCGGCCUUCUGGACUGACACUGACGCUGAGGUGCGAAAGCGUGGGUAGCAAACAGGAUUAGAUACCCGGGUAGUC